This 301-nucleotide ribosomal RNA is filed under the name uncultured bacterium. Its description in RNAcentral is "partial 16S ribosomal RNA". It matches the Rfam family "Bacterial small subunit ribosomal RNA", at positions 509 to 807 of the family's 1533-position model. The record is from RNAcentral.
CAGCAGCCGCGGUAAUACGAAGGGUGCAAGCGUUAAUCGGAAUUACUGGGCGUAAAGCGUGCGUAGGCGGUUUGUUAAGUCUGUUGUGAAAUCCCCGAGCUCAACCUGGGAAUGGCAAUGGAUACUGGCAAGCUAGAGUGUGUCAGAGGAUGGUGGAAUUCCCGGUGUAGCGGUGAAAUGCGUAGAGAUCGGGAGGAACAUCAGUGGCGAAGGCGGCCAUCUGGGACAACACUGACGCUGAGGCACGAAAGCGUGGGGAGCAAACAGGAUUAGAUACCCGCGUAGUCCCUGUCUCUUAUAC